CCUACGGGCGGCAGCAGUGGGGAAUAUUGGACAAUGGGCGAAAGCCUGAUCCAGCCAUGCCGCGUGUGUGAAGAAGGCCUUCGGGUUGUAAAGCACUUUCAGUGGGGAAGAAAGCCUUGGGGCUAAUACCCUCGAGGAAGGACAUCACCCACAGAAGAAGCACCGGCUAACUCCGUGCCAGCAGCCGCGGUAAUACGGAGGGUGCGAGCGUUAUCAGGAAUUACUGGGCGUAAAGCGCGCGUAGGCGGUCUGAUAAGCCGGUUGUGAAAGCCCCGGGCUCAACCUGGGAACGGCAUCCGGAACUGUCAGGCUAGAGUGCAGGAGAGGAAGGUAGAAUUCCCGGUGUAGCGGUGAAAUGCGUAGAGAUCGGGAGGAAUACCAGUGGCGAAGGCGGCCUUCUGGACUGACACUGACGCUGAGGUGCGAAAGCGUGGGUAGCAAACAGGAUUAGAUACCCGUGUAGUC
Molecule: ribosomal RNA, 465 nt
Filed under: Vreelandella stevensii
Lineage: Bacteria; Pseudomonadati; Pseudomonadota; Gammaproteobacteria; Oceanospirillales; Halomonadaceae
Description: partial 16S ribosomal RNA
Rfam family: Bacterial small subunit ribosomal RNA
Source: RNAcentral